CGAUGGGAGCUUGCUCCCUGAGAUCAGCGGCGGACGGGUGAGAAACACGUGGGUAACCUGCCUGUAAGACUGGGAUAACUCCGGGAAACCGGGGCUAAUACCGGAUAACACCUACCCCCGCAUGGGGGAAGGUUGAAAGGUGGCUUCGGCUAUCACUUACAGAUGGACCCGCGGCGCAUUAGCUAGUUGGUGAGGUAAUGGCUCACCAAGGCGACGAUGCGUAGCCGACCUGAGAGGGUGAUCGGCCACACUGGGACUGAGACACGGCCCAGACUCCUACGGGAGGCAGCAGUAGGGAAUCUUCCGCAAUGGACGAAAGUCUGACGGAGCAACGCCGCGUGAGUGAAGAAGGUUUUCGGAUCGUAAAACUCUGUUGUUAGGGAAGAACAAGUGCCGUUCGAAUAGGGCGGCGCCUUGACGGUACCUAACCAGAAAGCCACGGCUAACUACGUGCCAGCAGCCGCGGUAAUACGUAGGUGGCAAGCGUUGUCCGGAAUUAUUGGGCGUAAAGCGCGCGCAGGUGGUUUCUUAAGUCUGAUGUGAAAGCCCACGGCUCAACCGUGGAGGGUCAUUGGAAACUGGGGAACUUGAGUGCAGAAGAGGAAAGUGGAAUUCCAAGUGUAGCGGUGAAAUGCGUAGAUAUUUGGAGGAACACCAGUGGCGAAGGCGACUUUCUGGUCUGUAACUGACACUGAGGCGCGAAAGCGUG
Molecule: ribosomal RNA, 709 nt
Filed under: Bacillus sp. 7PE.1
Lineage: Bacteria; Bacillati; Bacillota; Bacilli; Caryophanales; Bacillaceae
Description: bacterial SSU rRNA
Rfam family: Bacterial small subunit ribosomal RNA
Source: RNAcentral